Molecule: ribosomal RNA, 301 nt
Filed under: uncultured bacterium
Lineage: Bacteria
Description: partial 16S ribosomal RNA
Rfam family: Bacterial small subunit ribosomal RNA
Source: RNAcentral
CAGCAGCCACGGUAAUACGGAGGGAGCUAGCGUUGUUCGGAAUUACUGGGCGUAAAGCGCACGUAGGCGGUUAUUCAAGUCAGAGGUGAAAGCCCGGGGCUCAACCCCGGAACUGCCUUUGAAACUAGAUGACUAGAAUCUUGGAGAGGUCAGUGGAAUUCCGAGUGUAGAGGUGAAAUUCGUAGAUAUUCUGAAGAACACCAGUGGCGAAGGCGACCGACUGGACAAGUAUUGACGCUGAGGUGCGAAAGCGUGGGGAGCUAACAGGAUUAGAUACCCGAGUAGUCCCUGUCUCUUAUAC